This is a long non-coding RNA of Sinocyclocheilus grahami, 406 nucleotides long. RefSeq lists it as uncharacterized. The record is from RefSeq and is a predicted model, not a curated record. The transcript has 4 exons. Lineage: Eukaryota; Metazoa; Chordata; Actinopteri; Cypriniformes; Cyprinidae.
AAGCGCAUAUCAUGUUUGAAGCAGGCAUUGUUUUUAUAAUGCAAGCGUCCUGUGCAGCAAAGUGGUAUCAGAACAGUUGAUUUGAAACCAAAGCUCACCACUAGAGGGCAUUAGCUGCCAAUUUACCCAAGAAGGCCGAAUUCUCAGGUGCACAUCCGGAUCCAGGAAUGUGCUAACACUUGAACCUGAGAGCAGAUGAAGUAGGAAAUGAACGCAACCGAACAUGAUGGAGAGAGACGGAGAUGGAUGGAUGGAUGGUACAAGAGGUUUAAAUGGCAAUCAGAAGGGAAUAUCAAGUGGGAAGGAGAAGAAGAAAGAGGUUCACAUCGAUGUGAAGGUGCUGUUAAGUUUGGGAAGAGAAAAACGUAUGCCAACCUCCAAAAGAAAAGGGGAAAACAAUUGAAUG